Molecule: ribosomal RNA, 743 nt
Filed under: uncultured Caldilinea sp.
Lineage: Bacteria; Bacillati; Chloroflexota; Caldilineae; Caldilineales; Caldilineaceae
Description: bacterial SSU rRNA
Rfam family: Bacterial small subunit ribosomal RNA
Source: RNAcentral
AGAGUUUGAUCCUGGCUCAGGACGAACGCUGACGGCGUGCUUUAGACAUGCAAGUCGAACGAAGCCUUCGGGCUUAGUGGCGCACGGGUGCGUAACGCGUGGGAACCUGCCUUUAGGUUCGGAAUAACUCUCCGAAAGGGGUGCUAAUACCGAAUAAUGUCUUCGGACCAAAGAUUUAUCGCCUUUAGAUGGGCCCGCGUUGGAUUAGCUAGUUGGUGGGGUAAAGGCCUACCAAGGCGACGAUCCAUAGCUGGUCUUAGAGGAUGAUCAGCCACACGGGAACUGAGACACGGUCCCGACUCCUACGGGGGGCAGCAGUGAGGAAUAUUGGGCAAUGGACGCAAGUCUGACCCAGCAACGCCGCGUGGAGGACGAAGGCUUUCGAGUUGUAAACUCCUUUUGUGGGGGACAAGCAAGGAUGGUACCCCAAGAAUCAGUCACGGCUAACUACGUGCCAGCAGCCGCGGUAAUACGUAGGUGACGAGCGUUAUCCGGAAUUAUUGGGCGUAAAGCGCACGCAAGCGGUUUAUCAAGUCUGACGUGAAAUCUCCUGGCUUAACUGGGAGCGGUCGUUGGAAACUGAUAAGCUUGAGGCGAUGAGAGGGGUGCAGAAUUCCCGGUGUAGUGGUGGAAUGCGUAGAGAUCGGGGGGAAUACCUGUGGCGAAAGCGGCACCCUGGCGUCGUUCUGACGCUCAUGUGCGAAAGCGUGGGGAGCGAACGGGAUUAGAUACCCCCGUAGUCC